RNAcentral lists this ribosomal RNA (253 nucleotides) under uncultured bacterium. RNAcentral's name for it is "partial 16S ribosomal RNA". It matches the Rfam family "Bacterial small subunit ribosomal RNA", at positions 524 to 776 of the family's 1533-position model. The record is from RNAcentral.
UACGAAGGGGGCUAGCGUUGCUCGGAAUCACUGGGCGUAAAGCGCACGUAGGCGGAUCUUUAAGUCAGGGGUGAAAUCCUGGAGCUCAACUCCAGAACUGCCUUUGAUACUGGGGAUCUCGAGUCCGGAAGAGGUGAGUGGAACUCCGAGUGUAGAGGUGAAAUUCGUAGAUAUUCGCAAGAACACCAGUGGCGAAGGCGGCUCACUGGCCCGAUACUGACGCUGAGGUGCGAAAGCGUGGGGAGCAAACAGG